GAUGAACGCUGGCGGCGUGCCUAAUACAUGCAAGUCGAGCGGACGGACGAGAAGCUUGCUUCUCUGAUGUUAGCGGCGGACGGGUGAGUAACACGUGGAUAACCUACCUAUAAGACUGGGAUAACUUCGGGAAACCGUAGCUAAUACCGGAUAAUAUUUUGAACCGCAUGGUUCAAAAGUAAAAGACGGUCUUGCUGUCACUUAUAGAUGGAUCCGCGCUGCAUUAGCUAGUUGGUAAGGUAACGGCUUACCAAGGCAACGAUGCAUAGCCGACCGGAGAGGGGGAUCGGCCACACGGGAAGUGAGACACGGUCCAGACUCCUACGGGACGCAGCAGUAGGGAAUCGUACGCAAUGGGCGAAAGCCUGACGGAGCAACGCCGCGUGAGUGAUGAAGGUCUUCGGAUCGUAAAACUCUGUUACUAGGGAAGAACAUAUGUGUAAGGAACUGUGCACAUCUUGACGGUACCUAAUCAGAAAGCAACGGCUAACUACGUG
This 497-nucleotide ribosomal RNA is filed under the name uncultured bacterium. RNAcentral's name for it is "partial 16S ribosomal RNA". It matches the Rfam family "Bacterial small subunit ribosomal RNA", at positions 28 to 507 of the family's 1533-position model. The record is from RNAcentral.